This 74-nucleotide transfer RNA is filed under the name Mariniblastus sp. RNAcentral's name for it is "tRNA-Val". It matches the Rfam family "tRNA". Rfam says of the family: Transfer RNA (tRNA) molecules are approximately 80 nucleotides in length. Their secondary structure includes four short double-helical elements and three loops (D, anti-codon, and T loops). Further hydrogen bonds mediate the characteristic L-shaped molecular structure. tRNAs have two regions of fundamental functional importance: the anti-codon, which is responsible for specific mRNA codon recognition, and the 3' end, to which the tRNAs corresponding amino acid is attached (by aminoacyl-tRNA synthetases). tRNAs cope with the degeneracy of the genetic code in two manners: having more than one tRNA (with a specific anti-codon) for a particular amino acid; and 'wobble' base-pairing, i.e. permitting non-standard base-pairing at the 3rd anti-codon position. The record is from RNAcentral. RNAcentral also lists the same sequence under 5 other names. Lineage: Bacteria; Pseudomonadati; Planctomycetota; Planctomycetia; Pirellulales; Pirellulaceae.
GGGCGGUUAGCUCAGCUGGCUAGAGCGCCACGUUGACAUCGUGGAGGUCGUUGGUUCAAGUCCAAUACCGCCCA